RNAcentral lists this ribosomal RNA (404 nucleotides) under uncultured bacterium. RNAcentral describes it as "bacterial SSU rRNA". It matches the Rfam family "Bacterial small subunit ribosomal RNA", at positions 29 to 428 of the family's 1533-position model. The record is from RNAcentral.
AUUGAACGCUGGCGGCAUGCCUAACACAUGCAAGUCGAACGGCAGCACAGCAGUAGCAAUACUGUGGGUGGCGAGUGGCGGACGGGUGAGGAAUACGUCGGAAUCUGCCCAGUCGCGGGGGAUAACUAGCCGAAAGGUUAGCUAAUACCGCAUACGACCGAGAGGUGAAAGCGGGGGACCGCAAGGCCUCGCGCGAUUGGAUGAGCCGACGUCGGAUUAGCUAGUUGGCGGGGUAAAGGCCCACCAAGGCGACGAUCCGUAGCUGGUCUGAGAGGAUGAUCAGCCACACUGGAACUGAGACACGGUCCAGACUCCUACGGGAGGCAGCAGUGGGGAAUAUUGGACAAUGGGCGCAAGCCUGAUCCAGCAAUGCCGCGUGUGUGAAGAAGGCCUUCGGGUUGUAA